Molecule: ribosomal RNA, 1219 nt
Filed under: uncultured Sulfurimonas sp.
Lineage: Bacteria; Pseudomonadati; Campylobacterota; Epsilonproteobacteria; Campylobacterales; Sulfurimonadaceae
Description: bacterial SSU rRNA
Rfam family: Bacterial small subunit ribosomal RNA
Source: RNAcentral
CGCUAAGAGAUCGGUCUAUAUCGCAUCAGUUAGUUGGUGGGGUAACGGCCUACCAAGACAAUGACGCGUAGCGGGUUUGAGAGGAUGAUCCGCCACACUGGUACUGAGACACGGACCAGACUCCUACGGGAGGCAGCAGUGAGGAAUAUUGCACAAUGGGGGAAACCCUGAUGCAGCAACGCCGCGUGGAGGAUGACGCAUUUCGGUGUGUAAACUCCUUUUAUGAGUCAAGAAAAUGACGGUAGCUCAUGAAUAAGCACCGGCUAACUCCGUGCCAGCAGCCGCGGUAAUACGGAGGGUGCAAGCGUUACUCGGAAUCACUGGGCGUAAAGGACGCGUAGGCGGGUUAUCAAGUCAGGUGUGAAAUCCUAUGGCUCAACCAUAGAACUGCACUUGAAACUGGUAACCUAGAGUAUGGGAGGGGCAGAUGGAAUUAGUAGUGUANGGGGUAAAAUCCGUAGAUAUUACUAGGAAUACCGAAAGCGAAGGCGAUCUGCUGGAACAUUACUGACGCUAAGGCGUGAAAGCGUGGGGAGCAAACGGGAUUAGAUACCCCGGUAGUCCACGCCCUAAACGAUGAACGCUAGUCGUCGGGGAGCUAGUCUCUUCGGUGAUGCACUUAACAGAUUAAGUGUUCCGCCUGGGGAGUACGGUCGCAAGAUUAAAACUCAAAGGAAUAGACGGGGACCCGCACAAGUGGUGGAGCAUGUGGUUUAAUUCGAAGAUACGCGAAGAACCUUACCUAGCCUUGACAUUGAUAGAACACCGUAGAGAUACAGUGGUGCCCUUCGGGGAACUUGAAAACAGGUGCUGCACGGCUGUCGUCAGCUCGUGUCGUGAGAUGUUGGGUUAAGUCCCGCAACGAGCGCAACCCUCGUCCUUAGUUGCCAGCAGGUUAAGCUGGGCACUCUAAGGAGACUGCCUUCGCAAGGAGGAGGAAGGUGAGGACGACGUCAAGUCAUCAUGGCCCUUAUGGCUAGGGCUACACACGUGCUACAAUGGGGCGUACAGAGAGUUGCGAUACCGCGAGGUGGAGCCAAUCUCAUAAAGCGUCUCUCAGUUCGGAUUGGAGUCUGCAACUCGACUCCAUGAAGCUGGAAUCACUAGUAAUCGUAGAUCAGCAAUGCUACGGUGAAUACGUUCCCGGGUCUUGUACUCACCGCCCGUCACACCAUGGGAGUUGAUUUCACCCGAAAUUGGGAAGCUAACCUUCGGGGGG